GCCGGGCACGGUGGCGCGCGCCUGUAAUCCCAGCUCCUCCGGGAGGCUGAGGUCGGCGGAUCGUGGAUGCUCGGGGGUUCGGGACUAAGGCGCUGUGUGGAGCGGGCGUCCGCACCAGGCAUGGCACCAACAUGGGGCUCCUGGGGGAGCCCGGGGGCACCAGGUUGUCUAAGGAGGGGGGGACCCGGCCCAGGUCGGAAACGGAGCAGGUCAAACUCCCCGUGCUGGGCGGCGGUGGGAUCGCGCCUGCGAGCAGUGUCCUCAGUUCCGCCCGAGACGUCCGACGAGACCCGGUCUCUU
Molecule: signal recognition particle RNA, 300 nt
Filed under: Loxodonta africana (African savanna elephant)
Lineage: Eukaryota; Metazoa; Chordata; Mammalia; Proboscidea; Elephantidae
Description: Metazoan signal recognition particle RNA
Rfam family: Metazoan signal recognition particle RNA
About the family: The signal recognition particle (SRP) is a universally conserved ribonucleoprotein. It is involved in the co-translational targeting of proteins to membranes.
Source: Rfam by way of RNAcentral